UACAGAGGGUGCUAGCGUUGCUCGGAAUUACUGGGCGUAAAGGGAGCGUAGGCGGACAUUUAAGUCAGGGGUGAAAUCCCGAGGCUCAACCUCGGAACUGCCUUUGAUACUGGAUGUCUUGAGUGUGAGAGAGGUGAGUGGAACUCCGAGUGUAGAGGUGAAAUUCGUAGAUAUUCGGAAGAACACCAGUGGCGAAGGCGACUCACUGGCUCAUUACUGACGCUGAGGCUCGAAAGCGUGGGGAGCAAACAGG
Molecule: ribosomal RNA, 253 nt
Filed under: uncultured bacterium
Lineage: Bacteria
Description: partial 16S ribosomal RNA
Rfam family: Bacterial small subunit ribosomal RNA
Source: RNAcentral